GUCGGCGGCUCGUCAAGUGCUGCAGGUGCAAUACCUCCAAGGUAUCCACACGUGCAGGGAGGAAGCAUCGCAAGCUGGACUGCUAGAUCCGCGAGUUGCAACAGGCGAGGGCGUGGGAGGCGCGGCAGGUGUGUUUCGCCAAAAAGGUGUAAACCCUAGGGCGCCCCCACCCCUCUAUUUAUAGAGGUUCCUGACGGGCCUCUGGAUCCGAGGCCCAUUAGUACUUCUAAACCUAAUCUAACUCGGAUCAGAUCCGAAUUGGGCUUCCAGCCCCUUAAGUGUGUGACCCUAUGGGUUCGGAUACGUAUAGACAUGGCCCGAGUACUCCUACUCGGCCCAAUAGUCAGUAGCGGCCUCUAGCAAGACGUGCCAACUCCUAUACGUACACGAAGAUCAUAUCAGAUGAACCAUCACAACAUAAUAUACAUUCUAUUCCCUUUGCCUCACGAUAUUUGGUCUAGCUUCAAGCCGACCGCUCUUUCUCGAUCCUGUGAUUCGGAAUCCCUUUGUAGGUUAACUCUUAACCAUACGUAGCAUGGCCAUGCAUUUUCGGAUCCGAUCACUCGAGGGGCCCAGAGAUAUCACUCUCAAUAAGAGAGGGGCAAAUCCCAUCUUGAUUGAUCAUGUCUCAUAGCAUGCUUCUUGACAAACCCGAAAGCUACCUUUAUAACUACCCUGUUACGGCGUAGCGUUUGAUAGCCCCUAAGUAUGUCGAUCCACAUCUAGAAUACAUGCGACAAUCUCAGGUCUAAGGACAAAGUGUAUAUGUUGUUUUAAAGAGAGAACUACUUCUCGUGUUGGGUCAGUCCUAACACAUGUCUCCACAUGUGUCCACAUUAUUAGUUCAACAUCUCCAUGUCCAUGACUUGUGAAACAUAGUCAUCAACUAAUACAUGUGCUAGUCUAAUAUUCAUGUGUGUCAUCACAUGAACUCCGACUAGGGACAACUUUAGAAUAACCAUACAAGUAAAGAGUUUCACAUACAAUUCACAUAAUUGCAAAUCAAUUCAAGUAGCCUUUAAUGGAUAUUCAAUGAACAUAAUAUACAAAUCAUGGAUACAAAUGGAAUAUCAUCAUCUCUAUGAUUGCCUCUAGGGCAUACCUCCAACAGUCCCUGUUCCGAGAGCACCUGUCUAGCUCGGCUUCAUUUUCCCAACCUGUUUUCGUCGGUGCGACUUUCAGUCAUGUCUUCUUCAUCCUCUUUCUCUUCUUCUAUUAAUCAGGUGAAAGUUUUUCCUUCAUCCUUUUUCUUAGUUUAGAUCUUUUGAAGGGAAUCACCUUUUUGAUCGUUGCUUUCCACAGACACGGCGCCUUAGCCCUUAACUCGAACGAGUCAUCGAACUCAUGCACUCCGACGGACCCUUGUCACAAGAAGGCAAGGACUUAAUCAGGGCUCAUCGUGACGAACUCCAAGAGCACAUCCCUGCUGACAUCCGACGGAUUUGGGAUUUUCUGGACUGCAACGCCCACCGGCGACCCCAAGCCGACAGAAGUCAUCUGUUUCCUCAAUGAAUCAUCCUUGAAGAUGCAGCGGCAGGAACAUCACGCCCGGCAAUGGACCGGAGCCACCCUCUCCCCCGUCAAGUCGAAGCGGAGGCUGCGGUGAUAGAGAUAGAAGAAGAGUACAUCCGUCUUCUGAUAGAACUAGGUCGGGCUGAGAGAGAGCGUAAGAAAAAGCGUGAUUAAUUAUUUUUUGUUCUAUGGGAGACUUGUACCUUGUCGGCCGUGUAACCCUCCGUCCGUACUGAAUGAAAUAUAUCGGCCGAUUUGGACGAUUACGUGUUUCCUCUAGACGAAUUCUUUUGUAUCGGCUGUGUGUUGUUCAUCGUGGUCGAUCCUUAUGCUCCGACCCAUAUACUAGGGUAGUACCUUUUCAAGUAUCUUCCGUUCAGAGCCCUUGUAAACUCUUCUCCUUCGAUUGUUUCCAAAAUAUAAGCGUUUCCUGGAGCACAUCUGCCGAUUUUGUACGGCCCUUCCCAUGUAGGGGACCACUUACCGAAUUUAGGAUCUUUCGACCCAAUCGGCAACACUAACUUCCAAACCAGGUCUCCCGGAGAGAAUUGUUUGACUUUGACCUUCUUAUCAUACCAUCUGGCCACUUUCUUCUUAUUUUCCUUGAUGCUUAUCAAAGCUCUCAAUCGUUGCCCAGCCUAGUCAUCAAGCUCCCUUUUCAUGAGUGAGGAGUAGUCGUCGGCCGUCAGCUGGUCCUGGAGCGACGUGCGUCUCGACCCCGCCCUCAAUUCCCAUGGUAGUACUGCAUCGUGACCGUACACCAACUGAUAAGGGGACAACUUGGUGGCCCCAUGACAAGCCAUCCUGUAUGCCCAUAGGGCUUCAAACAAACAUAGAUGCCAUUUUUUCGGCUGCUCCUCUAUCUUCCUCUUGAUUAACUUUAUUAUCCCUUUGUUGGAGGAUUCAGCCUGGCCAUUAGCUUGGGCAUAAUAUGGAGAGGAAUUUAACAACUUGAUUCCCAUAUCGGCCGUGAACUCCUCGAAUUCUCCUGAUGUGAACAUUGUCCCUUGAUCGGUUGCGAUAGUCUGGGGGAUGCCAAAACGGUAGACGAUAUGGUCUCUUACGAAGUCGACCAUAGCAGCCGAUGUUACGGCCCUUAACGAAAUUGCCUCCACCCAUUUGGUGAAAUAAUCAGUGGCCACCAGAAUGAACUUGUGCCCUUUGCUUGAUGGAGGAUAAAUUUGGCCGAUGAGGUCUAUUCCCCAUCCUCUGAACGGCCAUGGUUUGAUAAUGGGAUUCAUGGCCGAUGCGGGCGCACGUUGGACAUUCCCGAAUUUCUGACAAUCCUGGCAUCCCUUAUAAUAUUUGAAGCAAUCUUCGAGGAUCGUGGCUAGUAAUACCCAUUAUUCCUGAUCAUCCAUUUCAUCUUAUGUGCCGAUUGGUGGGCUCCACAUACUCCUUCAUGGAUUUCUCCCAUCAGAGUCUUAGCCUCCUCCGUUCCCAGACACUUGAGUAGGACGCCAUCAAUUGUUUGGUAGAACAAGUCGUCUUCCAGUAAUACGUAUUUGGUAGCAUGGAAACGCACCCGCCGAUCCACUUUCUUAGAUGGAUCUUUCAGGUAAUCGGCAAUCUCUUUUCGCCAGUCAUCGGCUACGAGUUCUAGAGCCAUAGCACCUUGAAUCGGCCGAUACCCAGAUGCGUGUUGGGCGAGCUUGUUGGCAUCCUCGUUGUGAUUCCUUGGGAUGUGUACAAUAACUGCCGACUUGAAUUCUUUCAGAAGUUGCAGGCAAUCUUCAUAAUAAAUCCUCAACACAUCGUCCUUACAUUCGGACUUCCCAGUCAAUUGAUCCACAAUAAGCAUGGAAUCUCCAAAAACUUCGACAGAAUCGGCCUUGACUUCUCUAAGCAAUUGUAACCCCUGCAGUACAGCUCGGUACUCUGCUUGAUUGUUAGUGGCGGAUGCUUCUAUCGGCAGAGAAAAAUCAUAGCUUGCCCCCCGAGGCGAUAUGAGGAUGAUGCCGAUUCCUGAUCCGGCCCCACAUGACGAUCCAUCAAAGUAUAAGGUCCAAGGUACUGGUUCCACGAAGGUAGUGUCUCGUCCGCAGUGUUGGGCAACGAAAUCGGCCAUGACCUGACCUUUAACGGCUUUUGCCGAUUCAUAUCGAAGGUCAAACUCUGACAAAGCCAAGAUCCAUUUGCCGAUUCGUCCUUUCAAAAUCGGCAGUGACAGCAUGUAUUUUACCACGUCGUCCUUGCACACGACCACACAUUCCGCCGAUAGCAAAUAGUGCCUGAGUUUGGUACAUGAGAAGUAAAGGCAUAGGCACAACCGUUCCAUUGGAGGAUACCUUGUUUCGGCGUCCAGAAGUCUUCUACUGACAUAAUAAAUUACCCGUUCCUUUCCUUCAAACUCCUGGACCAGAGCCGACCCAAUAGCUCGUUUAUCGGCUGAUAAAUAUAGUUUAAACGGCUUACCAGUUUGAGGAGGGACCAAUACCGGUGGUGAGACCAAGUACUGCUUGAUAUCUUCCAAAGCCUUGCGUUGCUCUUCCCCCCAUAUGAACUCCUGGUCGGGCUUCAACUUUAAUAAUGGUGUGAAGGCUUGGAUUCGCCCAGAUAGAUUAGAUAUGAACCUCCUGAUGAAAUUCACCUUGCCGAUUAGAGAUUGCAGCUCAGUUUUAUUCUGUGGGGCCACGAUUUUGUUGAUGGCCGCUAUGGUCUUCUGAUUGAUUUCUAUUCCCCGCUCGUGCACCAUGAAUCCUAAGAAUUGUCUGGCGGAUACGCCGAAGGCACACUUAUUCGGGUUCAUCUUCAGCCCAUGUUUCUUAGUGCAUUCCAACACCCGUCGUAAAUCGGCCAGAUGCUCCUGGUGUCCUUUUGACUUGACUACAACGUCGUCGAUGUAGAUCUCUACUAGUAUGCCGAUAAGUUUGUGAAAUAUGUAGUUCAUGGCUCUCUGAUACAUAGCGCCGGUGUUUUUCAAGCCGAAAGUCAUUACCACCCACUCGAAUAAGCCAAGGUGACCUGGGCAUUUGAAGGCCGUUUUGGGUAUGUCUUCUUCGGCCAUAAGUAUCUGGUUGUACCUAGCGUUUCCAUCCAUGAAACUAAUAACCUUGUAUCCCGCGGUGGCAUCUAUCAGCACAUCGGCCGUUGGCAUGGGGUAUCCGUCCAUUGGUGUGGCCUGAUUAAGGUUCCUGAAAUCGACGCAUAUGCGUAGCUUUCCGUUCUUCUUGUAUACUGGUACAAUGUUGGAGAUCCAUUCGGCAUAACGGCAUUGCCGAAUAAAUUUUGCUUCGAUUAGCCGUGUUAUUUCGGCUUUUAUAUCUGGUAGGAUUUUGGGAUUGCACCGUCGUGCAGGCUGUUGAUACGGCCGAUACCCUGGUUUUAUGGGUAGCCGAUGUUCAACGAUAGAUCGGUCUAAUCCGGGCAUCUCAUGAUACUCCCAAGCAAAGCAAUCCUUAAAUUCUCUUAACAAACUUGUCAGUUUACAUUUGUAUUCCGGAUCUAAAUUUGCACUAAUAUAUGUUGGCCUUGGUUUGGUGCCAUCGCCUAAGUCUAUCUGUUGACGCCGGAUUUUGUCACCAGUAGAAUCGGCGCCAAGCAGAAAAGAAAUCGGAGAAGUACAGUUGGGAAUCGGUCAAAUGGUGCUAUAGUACGGAAUCGGCUGGCGACUUUUGUCUCGCUUCAGGAUGAAUGCACCAGAAUCCCAAUCGGUAAUCUUUUGCCGAUGAGAAAUCGGCCGAUUAGGAGGAUGGAUUAAUUGGGCCUGUAUGGGCUUGGAAAGGGAUGGAAGGAUAAGGUGGAGGUCAGCCCACAAAGCGUGGGGUAACUAACCUAGCACGAAUUGUGCUUGUAGAUAUUUGUUUUCUGUUUGAAUUAGAGAUAGAAUUCUAGUCGGUUAAGAAGUUAUCUGUACGGGGCUAUAAAUAGCUACCUUUGCAAAUCUGUAAUCAUCAACCAAUCAAUACAACAAGCUACUUUUUCUUCGUACUUACUUUCGAGCAGGCGACUUCGCCAUUACUUUUUCUUCUCACGAGUUCGUGCGGAUUGGCAGGGCUGCAUCAUCUUGAUCUCCGGCCGAUUCUAUAAGUUCCGUUUAUCGAGUAAUAUCUAAGCUUUAACUUCCAGCGCAUCGCUGUUGUUUCGUUUAGAUUUAUUCAUCAGUUAUCGAUAUUUGCUAGAUUUAUAGGUUUUUACCUGUUUUUCUAGUUUUUAUCACCAGUUAUCCAGCUAGGAAUCGGUAGUAUCGGCUUUCUUUAUUUUCUAUCGUUAGAUUCAUCUGUUGCCGAUUAGAUCCGUUCCUAGUGUUGUUAUCACAAGCUUUGCACUAUUUUACUUUAGCAAUUUCCUGUCUACAAAGCUGUAGGGAUCGGGCUGCCUUAUUCGGGUGCCGAAAUGCACCCGUUUUGCAUCGUUUUUCGUGCCGGAACCGAAUGCCCAAAAACACUCCCAAACAUGUUCUAGCUGACACGUGUUCUUCCUUGCCAAUCAACAGGUCAGAUUGGCUGGCACGCCGCGCGAACCGCACCAGGGCAUUCACCCGAACAGGAGCUAAGCAGAUUCUCCCGGGUCGUGUGUCGGUCGCUGGGAUUCGGUCGAUCUGAUGAGGACACCACGAGUACAUCUACACCAGCAGCACCUCAGGCGCCUCCAGUUGCUCCUCCACCUCAGGCGCCUACAGUUGCUCAUCCAGUUGGGCCAAUCACUCGAGCCCGUGCGAGAGAAUUAAACUUCAUCAUGCUGUUAAGGAACGAAGGCCCAUCGGAAUAAGAAGAUGGCCCAACAGGGCAGCCCAGGUGGGGCGCCUAGGGUUGGGCGCCGUGACCCCUUCGGACUCCAGGGGCUGCGCCCCCUUUAUUUAGUCCGAGUCCUUUUUGUUUACGACUUGAGUUUUGUUUUACAUCUAGCUUUAGCUACUCUUGAACACGCGCAAAUACGCGCUGUCCUUGUGAUUCAGAACUCCACCUUCGAGUGAUAUUUAGAUUGCUCGCCUCUCUUUCUUGUUCGUUCUUCGAUUGCGGACAGGAAUCGAUCUUCGUGAUCAGGCUGAUCUCGCACCAGCGAGGUUGGUAACCAUCGGGAGUUGGUUCAGCGAUUGCAUUGGCGCUUCGGGUUCGCUCGUCGUAGUCGGAUCGUGAGGGUCUACUUCCACCAAGUCGAAUUUAUCUCCACUCACCGAAAGAUCGGGCACUCCGACUCUAUCAAGUGGUAUCAGCUUUCCAGGUUGAUCGGUGAGUUUUACCGAGUGUUUUUCCCUACCUACAGUCCACAAAAACCAAAACAAAUUUUUUUCAGGUUAGAUCCUUUGUCCCAGCAACCGUUUAGCCUUGCACAUUCUUUCAAUAAGUGUCUUUGUUGAAUUUGUGUGCCUACUCGUUCAAUUGUUGCUGGUUACUUGUGUUUAAUCUCUUGUUUCUCGUUUUUCAUCUAACCCUAGUUUUCGCCGCCGCCGCCGUUCCGCUGCUCGCCAACCCUACCACCGCACCUCCCCCCGCGACAACCGCGCCGCGCCAUCCCACUACUCCGAUCACCCCUCCCCUGUCAAAAAAAAAAGAUCGAAAGCAAUCAAAAAAAAAAAAAAGGAAAGAAGCAAAAAAAAAAAGAGACGAAGAAGAAUCCAACAGGGCGAAGGAAGGUGAUUCGGAUUUGUUUCGGUGGAACCUUCCUUUGCGCGCGCCGUGACUCCUCCUGGGUCACGACUCUCUGGUGUUAUUUCCCCCCCCCACGCAUCCCGUGCCCGCUUUUCAUAUCCAUAUCUCUCUUUCUUGGUACAUUUUUCUGAGGUUCGCUUUUCAUAUCCAUAUCUUUUUUUUACCGGAAUACCCCUGUACUUUCGGAAAAAGUGUGUGCCGCAAUUUGAUAUUUGAGAUCCUCUGUGUUCAUAUUAUCAGUUUUGGGGCACCCUCUGUGAAAAAAAAAAAACAGAAAUAAAAAAAAAAAAAAAGAGGUGUGCCCUCUCCACCUUGCCUGUGUUCUUUCGAUUUUUCCUUGUUACCAGCAACUCUUGUUACGUGUUUGGCACUAUCUUUCAACUUUGCAUUAUUGUUUGAUUGUGCUAAUCCUUCAUUUGAGUGCAGCCUUCCCAGAACUCCACAUAGUUCUACGACGAGCAUAUUUUGUUUCUCCAGGCAAUCGCUCCUCCAAUCUUUCGUGAGUUCCACCGGUUGGUUGCAGUUCGCCCCUGUGUGCGUGGUAAGAACGGAUAAGAAUUUGAUAACAGCACUAGUGUGAGCGCCUUGUGAGCUGUUACACCCCUAUUUUGUCGUCGCUUGUGUUCUUGUCUUUGCGCUAACCAUGGCAGAUGAUGUCGACGCGGGGGCUGACCAGCUGCAGGGCAUACGGGCGCAAGUUGAAGGGCUUGUCACCGACAUUCAGACGAUUCAUGAACGGCUGGACUCGACGAUCUCCUCGACGACCGAGCGGUGUGAUCAGCUCGACCUUGCACAGACGGCCGCUAAGGCCACACUCGACUCAGUUGUGGCAAGACUCGAUGCAUUGCACACUACAGUCGCAGAGUUGCAGCAGGGUUAUGGUGGUGACUCGGACCAGGACGAUGGCGACCGCCGUGGCCGUGCCCGCCGCGUGCCACGCCGUCCCGGUGGUAAUGAUUCCUUUUCCAAGAUUAAAUUUAAAAUUCCACCUUUUAAUGGCAAAUAUGAUCCUGCUGCAUAUCUUGAUUGGGAAUUAGAAGUCGAACAGAAAUUUUCAUGCCAUGAUAUUCUUGCUAAUUCUCAAGUUAAAGCUGCUAUUAGUGAAUUUACUGAUUUUGCUUUAAUCUGGUGGCGUGAAUAUAAACACAAACAUCCCAAUACCAUUCCAACCACUUGGGAGCAAUUAAAAACUGCUAUGCGCCACAGAUUUGUGCCUUCUUAUUAUGCUCGCGAUUUGCUUAAUAAAAUGCAACGUUUUUAGCAAGGUUCCAAAUCUGUUGAGGAAUAUUUCCAGGAAUUACAAAUAGGCAUGAUUCGUUGUGGGUUAUUGGAGGAAAACGACGCUGCUAUGGCACGUUUUCGUGGUGGUUUGAACCGCGAAAUUCAGGAUAUACUUGAUUAUAAGGACUACACAGAUAUGACAACAUUAUUUGAAUAUGCUUGCAAAGCUGAACGUGAAGUGCAGGGACGCCGCUCGAAGACAUAUUCUAACUCUUUUGCAGGAAGAAGCUCGACAUCCAACUCCGUACCCGCUCUCCCUGCGCCACCCACGCCCACCACUACACCGCGCGAGCGAACGGCCAAACCUGCAAGCGCUCUCCCUUCCACAGGCGCCGCCCCUCCCACAGGCCGUACACGGGAUAUUCAGUGUCAUCGUUGCAAAGGAUUUGGCCAUGUGAUUCGGGACUGUCCGAACAAGCGCACUUUGCUUCUUCGUGACGAUGGUGAGUACUCUUCCGCUAGUGAUUCUGAAGAUACUCGACAUGCGAUGCUUGCCACUGACCAUGCAGCUAUGGAGGUACAUGUCAACCCGGGCGACGCCGAUAGGUAUGAAAGCCUUGUUGUGCAGCGUGUUCUUAGUACACAGGUCACCCCGUCCGAGAAGAAUCAGCGACACACUCUUUUCCAUACCAAGGGCGUUGUGCAGGACCGGUCGAUUCGCAUCAUCAUCGACAGCGGCAGCUGCAACAAUUUGGCGAGUACCACGCUGGUUGAAAAGUUGUCUUUACCCACUCGUAAGCAUCCACAUCCAUAUCACAUUCAAUGGCUUAAUGAUGGUGGGAAAAUUAGAAUUACUCGAUCAGUCCGUGUUCCUUUCUCCAUGGGUGCUUAUUCUGAUUUUGUCGAUUGUGAUGUUAUUCCCAUGGAAGCAUGCUCUCUGUUACUUGGGCGACCUUGGCAAUAUGAUACUGAUAGCUUGCAUCAUGGUCGUUCAAAUCACUAUUCUUUCAUGUUUAAGGGUCAGAAAAUAAUUAUACAUCCAAUGACACCUGAACAAAUUCUUAAAGAUGAUCUUGCUAGAGCUGCUAAAACUGCUAAACAACUUGAACCAUCGACAUCUAUUAAUUCUGAAAUCAAGUUGAAUGCUCCUGUUUUGCUUGCCACACGUGCUGAUUUUGAUGAGUUACGCGAUGCUCCUUUGCCAUGCUAUGCCCUUAUAUGCUCUAGUGUGCUCGUUUCACUCGAUGAUGCACCAUCUUUGGAUAUUCCCCCUGCGGUUGCUAACAUUUUGCAGGAGUACGCUGAUGUCUUUCCAAAAGAUUUGCCACCGGGACUUCCACCACUUCGUGGCAUUGAGCACCAGAUCGACCUCAUUCCCGGCGCACAGCUUCCGAACCGUGCACCGUACCGUACAAAUCCGGAUGAGACGAAAGAAAUCCAGCGCCAGGUACAGGCGUUGCUUGACAAGGGUUAUAUUCGUGAGUCUCUUAGCCCUUGCUCCGUUCCUGUGUUACUUGUUCCAAAGAAAGAUGGCUCAUGGCGUAUGUGUGUAGACUGUCGUGCUAUUAAUAACAUUACCAUUCGCUACCGAUACCCUAUACCACGCCUUGAUGAUAUGCUAGAUGAGCUUAGUGGUGCCAUUAUUUUCACUAAGAUUGAUUUGCGUAGUGGCUACCAUCAGAUUCGCAUGAAAUUAGGUGAUGAAUGGAAAACGGCUUUUAAAACGAAAUUUGGGUUAUAUGAAUGGUUGGUUAUGCCGUUUGGUUUGACAAAUGCUCCCAGCACAUUUAUGCGUUUGAUGAAUGAAGUUCUGAGGCCCUUCAUAGGAUUGUUUGUAGUUGUCUAUUUUGAUGAUAUCCUCAUUUACAGCAAGUCUAUGGAAGAGCAUUUAGAACAUUUGCGUGCUGUUUUUGAUGCAUUGCGUGCGGCCCAUUUAUUUGCUAACCUCGAAAAAUGCAUGUUUUGCACACAACGUGUCUCGUUUCUUGGCUAUGUUGUUACUCCACAGGGCAUUGAGGUGGAUAGCAGCAAGAUUGAUGCCAUUCGGGAGUGGCCUACACCGACGACGGUCACACAAAUUCGAAGCUUUCUUGGCCUUGCAGGUUUCUACCGCCGGUUUGUUCGUGAUUUUAGCUCCAUUGCAGCGCCUCUACAUGAGCUUACAAAGAAGGAUGUUCCCUUUGCUUGGAGUGAUUCGCAAGAGGUUGCGUUCAGCACCUUGAAAGAUAAGUUAACCAAUGCUCCUCUCUUGCAGUUGCCUGAUUUUACUAAAGUGUUUGAGCUUGAAUGCGAUGCUAGCGGUAUUGGGCUAGGUGCUGUUUUGUUACAAGAAGGAAAACCGGUUGCUUACUUUAGUGAGAAAUUAAGUGGUGCUAGCUUGAAUUAUUCUACUUAUGAUAAGGAGCUUUAUGCUUUAGUGCGCACUUUGCAUACUUGGCAGCACUACCUUUGGCAUCGCGAGUUUAUAAUUCAUUCUGAUCAUGAGGCUUUAAAACAUAUUCGUACCCAAACAAACCUGAACCGUCGUCAUGCUAAAUGGGUAGAAUUCAUUGAGUCUUUCCCUUACAUUAUUAAACACAAGAGCGGGAAGGAAAAUGUCAUUGCUGAUGCUUUGUCUCGUCGCUAUACCAUGCUGUCACAGUUAGCUUUUAAAAUCUUUGGCUUGCAAACUGUGAAGGAUCAAUAUGUGGAUGAUGCUGAUUUUAAAGAUGCUUUCGCCCACUGUAUUCAUGGCAAACCAUGGGGCAAAUUUCACAUACAGGACGGGUUCCUGUUUCGCGCUAACAAGCUGUGUGUUCCAGCUAGCUCGGUUCGUCGUUUGUUGUUACAGGAAGCGCAUGGAGGCGGUCUCAUGGGGCACUUUGGCGUCUACAAGACGCAUGAAGUGCUGGCUGCCCACUUCUUUUGGCCCCGGAUGCGCGCUGAUGUUGAGCGCCUUGUUGCCCGCUGCACUACUUGCCAGAAAGCUAAGUCACGAUUAAACAACCAUGGUUUGUACAUGCCUUUGCCUGUUCCUACUUCCCCUUGGCUUGAUAUUUCUAUGGACUUUGUUUUGGGAUUGCCUAGAACUAAGAAGGGGAGGGACAGUAUUUUUGUGGUUGUUGAUCGUUUCUCCAAAAUGGCUCAUUUUAUACCUUGUCAUAAGACUGAUGAUGCUAGCAAUGUUGCUGAAUUGUUCUUUCGCGAGAUUAUUCGUUUGCAUGGUAUUCCAAAUACAAUAGUCUCUGAUCGUGAUGCUAAGUUUCUCAGUCAUUUUUGGAGAUCACUAUGGAAUAAAAUGGGAACUAAAUUGCUGUUUAGCACCACUUGUCACCCUCAGACUGAUGGACAAACUGAGGUGGUUAAUCGAACCUUGUCCACCAUGCUUAGGGCUGUUUUAGAUAAACACUUGAAACGUUGGGAAGAUUGCUUGCCUCAUGUUGAGUUUGCUUAUAAUCAUGCAACGCAUUCUUCUACAAAGAUGUGUCCUUUUCAAGUUGUUUAUGGUUAUAUUCCUCGGGCGCCUAUUGAUUUGUUUGCACUUGAUGCCGAGGACACCCCACACAUAGAUGCCGCUGCACAUAUUGAUCAAAUGAUUAGCUUGCAUGAGCAAACUCAACAAAACAUUGCUGCUGCUAAUGCUAAAUAUCAGGUUGCGGGUAGUAAAGGGAGAAAACAUGUUACUUUUGCACCGGGUGAUCUGGUUUGGUUGCAUUUGAGGAAGGAUCGUUUUCCUACCUUACGUCGUUCUAAAUUGAUGCCACGUGCUGCUGGUCCUUUUAAAGUGCUAACCAAGAUUAAUGAUAAUGCUUAUAUCCUUGACCUGCCUGCGGAGUUUGGUGUUUCCACGAGUUUUAAUGUUGCAGAUUUGAAACCGUAUGUGGGCGAAGAUGAGGAGUUGCCGUCGAGGACGACUUCAGUUCAAGAAGGGGAGGAUGAUGAGGACACCACGAGUACAUCUACACCAGCAGCACCUCAGGCGCCUCCAGUUGCUCCUCCACCUCAGGCGCCUACAGUUGCUCACGUGCGAGAGAAUUAAACUUCAUCAUGCUGUUAAGGAACGAAGGCCCAUCGGAAUAAGAAGAUGGCCCAACAGGGCAGCCCAGGUGGGGCGCCUAGGGUUGGGCGCCGUGACCCCUUCGGACUCCAGGGGCUGCGCCCCCUUUAUUUAGUCCGAGUCCUUUUUGUUUACGACUUGAGUUUUGUUUUACAUCUAGCUUUAGCUACUCUUGAACACGCGCAAAUACGCGCUGUCCUUGUGAUUCAGAACUCCACCUUCGAGUGAUAUUUAGAUUGCUCGCCUCUCUUUCUUGUUCGUUCUUCGAUUGCGGACAGGAAUCGAUCUUCGUGAUCAGGCUGAUCUCGCACCAGCGAGGUUGGUAACCAUCGGGAGUUGGUUCAGCGAUUGCAUUGGCGCUUCGGGUUCGCUCGUCGUAGUCGGAUCGUGAGGGUCUACUUCCACCAAGUCGAAUUUAUCUCCACUCACCGAAAGAUCGGGCACUCCGACUCUAUCACGAUCGAUUUCUAGCACCAACACACUUUUGGCACGCCCGGUGGGACGAAUACAACCGCUAUCAUGUUGAAAGCUGUUGAAGUCUCCGAAGAUAACGUCAUCGAAGUGACAGAAGCAGAUCUAAAGGACGACCAAAAGGAAGAUCUGAAUAAGUAUUUGGAGCAAGUCCGGAAAACUUGUUUAAAAUCCUUCAGUCGUUCCAGGAGCGGGGAGACUGUUAAAAAGACUCCUUUCCCUACUCCCCGUCAGAUCACAAUUUCUGAGGAUUCGGAUAAAAUGUCCGAUAUGAUUCAACAAUCUCUUCAUCACGCCUUCAUCAAUCAAUCCCCGGUGCUUUCAAACAUGGUGCACAAUGCCGUUGUCAACUCCUUCGCCGGAGGUAUACCUCAAGGAUACAGGGGACCAACGUAUUUUCAGCCGAUUCCACCAAAUCAGGCUUAUCCGGCUUCACAGCCGAUCCAAUCUUCUGUUGGAGGAUCCGGUGCUUCUGCGUCAUCAACUCCUUUGGGAUAUGGUUCUAUCCAAAUGUCCUCUGCACCAUUCCCUCCGGUCAACCCUUCACCCUGGGGGGCACCUUUAAACACGGCCGGUCUGAAUCAAUCGGUCAGUCAAGGAAAUCCUCCGUUCCAGACACCCUCCCAAACGGCCACCCGGCCGAUCAUACCACCAUACCAGCCUGUCGCUCCGGAGAUCAACAAGACGUCAGAGCUCAUGCUAUAUGAUGAAACAAGUGGUUCAUACAAACAGCCAACCUUUACUACACCGCCGGCUUAUACUCAGAUACCACCUUUUCAUCAAUCUCCUUUUAUUCAGCCUCCGAUUUAUCAGCACGUGCCGAUACCGCAGCCAACUAUUCCCCAGCAACAACCAGAUUGGUCGGCGCAAAUUGCGGAGGUAAUGCAAGAACAAUUCGGCUUGAAGCCGAAAAUGCAAACUUAUACCUAUAGAACACCAUACUCAUCUACAUAUGACUUGUUGCCGUUCCCCCAUCGGUACAAAGUUCCUGAUUUUACCAAAUUUUUGGGGAUGGAUGACACUUCGACUGUAGAGCAUGUGAAUAGAUUCAUCAUCCAAUGCGGGGAGGCAGCUACGCAAGAUGCCCUACGGGUACGGUUGUUCUCGUCAUCCUUGUCUGGAUCGGCCUUUCAAUGGUUCACGACGCUACCACCAAACUCAAUUAUCACAUGGGCCGAUCUAGAAAGACAGUUCCACAAGUACUUCUAUGCUGGGGUCCACGAAAUGAAGCUGUCCGAUUUGACUAGCCUACGGCAAAGAAGUGAUGAGCCGAUACCCUCGUAUAUACAGAGGUUUCGGGAAAUCAGAAACAAAUGCUACUCCCUGGCUCUAACCGAUGCGCAGUUGGCCGAUAUAGCUUUCCAAGGCCUUCUGCCACACAUUAAAGAGAAAUAUGCCUCACAAGAGUUCGAGAGCCUGAGCCAGAUUGUUCACCGAUUGUCCGGACAAGAAGUGCGUCCAUUCGAUCCGCGACGGAAUUUCCAGAAGAAAGUGGCAUUCCUGGAAGAGUUAGAGGAUGAGGAAGAUGUCGAAAUCGGACUUGCGGAGUGGGUUAAGGGAAAAAAGCCGAUAUCGUGCCCAUUCGGCAAAAAGGAGCCGGAAGCAUUCGGUUUCGAUACGACUAAAGCCGAUAAAAUCUUUGAUCUUCUCCUACAGGAAGGGCAGAUUAAACUCUCGCCUUACCAUACAAUACCCUCUGCCGAACAAUUAAAGAAGAUGAAGUAUUGCAAGUGGCACAAUGCCACAUCACAUGAUACUAACGAGUGCAAAAUCUUCAGGCAACAAAUACAGUCAGCCAUUGAGCAAGGCAGACUCAAAUUUGAAGUGCCGGCGAAAUCGGCCAAACCAAUGAAGAUCGACCAGCACCCCUUUCCUACCAACAUGGUUGAUACGGGAAAGAAUUCGCUCCAAACAAAAGUGCUGACGUCCGAAUCGGCCAAAAAGAGUGGCUCUGUCGAUCCCAGAAAUCAAACUACGCCUGAAGAUGUCAAAGGGAAGCGGCGAAUGGAGGACGAUGAUGGUGAGUCAGAUGGACCACGUAUUACUUCCCAGUUCCUGCUCCAAAAGUACCAACGCCAACAUGAACGUUCGAGGUCCCGAGAGGAAGCGAUGCGUCGGCACGAAGAGCACUGGAGAUGCCCGUUCUUCAUUCAUUGUUGGGAAAAUAGCCUCAGGCUACCAUCGGCCGAUACUUGCCCAGAGUGCAACGGUCCCUAUCGAGGCAAUUGGCCGUUCACCAGGUCUCGCUCCAGAGACGGAAGGCCAGAACCGAUCAGCAGGAAUUGGCGCAACCCAGAUGACCAGCGCCCUCCCGUGCGUGAUCGGCUGGGGGGCAGAAGUGACCGAUAUGAUCGGUCAGAAGAUAGAAGCCAUAAUAGGCAGGGGGGCAGGGCUGAUCGACAUGAUCAGUCAAAUAGCAAAGCUAGCGUUCACAGCCGGCUCGAAGACAUGGCCGAUGCUCGGGUAACGGAUGAGAACCCGUUAGGACGCGAACCGGAGUGGGAACGCGCCAGGAAAGAAGGGAGGCCAAUAAACCCCAGGUGGUGUCCUGAUGGUUUAACCAAAUCACAAAAACGGAGGAUCCAACGCCUCCGCCAAUGGGAACAGCAAGAAGAAGAGAGCGCGAUGGACAAGAAGGAAGGGAGGCCUCGGGUGUGGCGCCCCAAAAGAAACGACAAGGGAAACAAUGAGUCGGCGGGUGAGGAAUCGGCAGCCGAGAUCGGUAUGGUUUUCAUAUUGCCGAUGGAGUUCAUGACCCCUGCCGAUCAACAGGACGUAUCGGCGAUAGAGGAACAGACAGCACGGUUGGCUUUAGAACCAAUGAUGGCAACGUUCGAAAAGCCCGAAGAUGACGAACGACAACAUAUGAAGGCGUUGUUCCUUAAAGGGCAUGUUGACGGUCGUCCCCUCACUAGAUUGAUGGUCGACGGAGGAGCUGCUGUCAAUAUCAUGCCGUAUGCCGUACUCCGGAAGCUGGGGAAGAGCGACGACGACCUAACCAGGACGGACAUGAUGCUCAAGGACUUCGAAGGCAAGGUGUCAAACGCUCGCGGUGCUCUCUGCGUUGACCUCACCAUCGGCAGUAAGACUCUUCCUACCACGUUUUUUGUCAUUAAUGGCAAAGGGUCCUAUAAUAUGCUUCUUGGCCGAGACUGGAUACACGCGAACUGCUGCAUCCCGUCAACUAUGCAUCAAUGCCUCAUACAAUGGGUCGGCGAUAACAUCGAGGUGGUCAAAGCCGACUCCGCGUACAGCAUCGCAGCAGCCGACGCACAGCAAUGGAGCUGCGAAACCGUCAGAUGCAUAUCAGGUAGGGUGUGGGAAACCGAUUUCCUGAAGGUCACCGAUUUUGGCCUACAGCCGAUCCGAGCAGUCAGCUCCGAAGAAGCGGAAUAGAUGGAUCAGUUCGCCCGAGAAGACGGGAAGCUGGGGCACGGAUUCACGUCGGCCGAUUCAUUAGAGAUGAUAGACUUAGGUGACGGGACCAAACCAAGGCCGACUUUUAUUAGUGCAAAUUUAGAUCCAGAGUAUAAGUGUAAAUUGACAAAUUUAUUAAGAGAAUUCAAGGAUUGUUUUGCUUGGGAGUAUCACGAGAUGCCCGGUUUAGAUCGAUCUAUUGUUGAACAUCGGCUACCCAUAAAGCCAGGGUAUCGGCCGUACCAACAACCCGCACGGCGAUGCAAUCCUAAAAUUUUACCAGACAUAAAAGCUGAAAUAACUCGGCUAAUUGAAGCAAAAUUUAUUCGGCAAUGUUGUUAUGCCGAGUGGAUUUCUAAUAUCGUGCCAGUGUACAAGAAAAACGGGAAGCUGCGCGUUUGCGUUGAUUUCAGGAAUCUUAAUCAGGCCACACCGAUGGAUGGUUACCCCAUGCCUACGGCCGAUGUACUGAUCGACGCUGCCGCGGAACACAAAAUUAUUAGCUUCAUGAAUGGAAACGCCGGAUACAACCAAAUACUUAUGGCCGAAGAGGACAUACCCAAAACGGCUUUCAGAUGUCCAGGCCAUCUUGGUUUAUUCGAGUGGGUCGUGAUGACUUUCGGCUUGAAGAAUGCUGGUGCUACAUAUCAGAGAGCCAUGAACUACAUUUUUCACAAACUCAUUGGCCUCCUGGUGGAGAUCUACAUCGAUGAUGUUGUGGUCAAGUCCAAAAGCCACGAGGAACACCUAGCCGAUUUGCGAAGGGUGCUAGAGUGUACCAAAAAGCAUGGUCUUAAGAUGAAUCCCAACAAAUGCGCUUUCGGCGUCUCCGCCGGACAGUUCUUAGGAUUCAUGGUGCACGAACGAGGUAUAGAAGUCAAUCAGAAGACCAUAGCGGCCAUCAACAAAGUCGUUGCUCCACAGAACAAAACUGAGCUACAGUCUCUAAUCGGCAAGGUAAACUUCAUCAGAAGGUUUAUAUCUAAUCUAUCUGGACGACUCCAGGCGUUCACGCCACUUCUGAAGUUAAAGCCCGACCAGGAAUUUAUAUGGGGAGAAGAACAGCGCAAGGCGUUAGAAGAUAUCAAGCGAUACUUGGUCUCACCGCCAGUCUUGGUUCCCCCUCAAACUGGUAAGCCGUUUAAACUGUAUUUAUCAGCCGAUGAAAAAGCUAUUGGUCGGCUCUAGUCCAAGAGUUUGAAGGCAAAGAGCGGGUAAUUUAUUACGUCAGUAGAAGACUCCUGGAUGCCGAGACAAGAUACCCUCCGGUGGAGCGUUUGUGUUUGUGUCUUUACUUCUCGUGCACCAAACUCAGGCACUAUCUACUGUCGGCAGAAUGUGUAGUCGUAUGCAAAGAUGAUGUAGUGAAAUACAUGCUGUCACUGCCGAUAUUGAAAGGACGAAUCGGUAAAUGGAUCUUAGCUUUAUCAGAAUUUGACCUACGGUAUGAAUCGGCAAAAGCCGUCAAGGGUCAAGUCAUGGCCGAUUUCGUCACCCAGCACUGUGGACCGGAGAUCGCCUUCGUGGAACUAGCGCCUUGGCAAUUAUUUUUUGACGGGUCAUCAUGCGGGGCCGGAUCAGGAAUCGGCAUCGUUCUCAUAUCGCCUCGGGGGGCAAGCUAUGAUUUUUCUCUGCCGAUAGAAACCGCCGCCACUAACAAUCAAGCGGAGUACAGAGCUGUGUUAAAAGGCUUACAAUUAUUGAGAGAAGUCAAGGCCGAUUCUGUUGAGAUCUUCGGAGAUUCUAUGCUAAUUGUGGAUCAACUAACCGGAAGGGCUGAGUGCAAAGAUGACAUAUUAAGAAUUUAUCACGAAGAUUGCUUACAGCUUUUAAAAGGAUUCAGAUCGGCAGUAAUCGAGCAUGUUCCAAGAGACCGCAACGAGGAAGCAAACAAACUCGCCCAGCAUGCAUCUGGGUAUCGGCCGAUUCUGGGCGCCAUGGCCUUAGAACUUGCAGCCGACGACUGGCGUAAAGAAAUUGCCGAUUACCUUAAGGAUCCGUCUAAAAAGGUGGAGCGACGAGUACGCUUUCACGCCACCAAAUACGUAUUGCUCGAAGAUGAUCUGUUCUACCGAACGAUCGACGGAGUCCUUCUUAAAUGCCUUGGGACAGAAGAAGCCAAGACUCUAAUGGGAGAAAUCCAUGAAGGGGUAUGCGGAGUAAACCAAUCGGCACAUAAGAUGAAGUGGAUGAUCAAGAACAACGGGUAUUAUUGGCCUACGAUCCUCGAAGACUGUUUUAAAUAUUAUAAGGGUUGUCAGGAAUGUCAAAAGUUUGGAAAUAUCCAACGUGCACCCGCGUCGGCCAUGAAUCCCAUCAUCAAGCCAUGGCCGUUCAGGGGGUGGGGAAUAGACCUCAUCGGCCAAAUUUAUCCACCAUCGAGCAAGGGGCACAAAUUUAUUCUGGUGGCUACUGAUUACUUCACCAAAUGGGUGGAGGCAAUCCCGUUGAGGGCUGUGACUUCGGCUAUCAUGGCCGACUUCGUAAGGGACCAUAUCAUCUACCGAUUCGGUAUCCCUCAAACUAUAACAACCGAUCAAGGGACAAUGUUCACAUCGGGGGAAUUUGAGGAAUUUACGACCAAUAUGGGCAUCAAAUUGUUGAACUCUUCUCCGUAUUACGCUCAAGCCAAUGGUCAAGCAGAAUCCUCCAACAAAGGAAUAAUCAAGUUGAUCAAGAGGAAGAUCGAAGAAUAUCCGAAGAAGUGGCACCUAUGUUUGACUGAGGCCCUGUGGGCAUACAGAAUGGCCUGUCAUGGGGCUACCAAGUUAUCCCCCUAUCAGCUGGUAUACGGUCAUGAUGCAGUACUGCCAUGGGAGUCGAGGGCAGGAUCAAGGCGCAUUUCACUUCAGGACCAGUUGUCAACCGAUGAUUACUCAUCUCUGAUGAAAGGGGAACUCGAUGAUUUGGCUGGCCAACGACUAAGGGCUCUGAUAAGUAUCGAAGAAAAUAAAAAGAGAGUGGCCAGGUGGUACGAUAAGAAGGUCAAAGUCAAGCAGUUCUCCCCUGGAGACUUGGUAUGGAAGUUAGUACUACCGAUCGGGUCGAAAGAUCCUAAAUUCGGAAAAUGGUCUCCUACCUGGGAAGGGCCGUAUAGAAUCGGCAGAUGCGCUCCAGGGAAUGCCUACAUUUUGGAAACAAUAGAAGGAGAAGAAUUCACUAGAGCUCUAAAUGGAAGGUACUUAAAAAGAUAUUACCCAAGUAUAUGGGUCGGAGCCUAAGAAAUCAACCAUACAUAGCCGAUACGAGUCGGUUUAAGACGCACAUAAAGUCGACCGGAGCGGCCGAUUACAUUCAUUCGGUACGGACGACGGAUUACAUGGCCGACAGAACACUAAGUCGCCCUUAGAACAAAAAAUACAAAAAACAAACUAAUUGUUCUUCUUCUGGGAGGCCUUCCCAUUCCGCUCCAACUCGUCCGCAGCACGAAGGCGCGAGGCCUCUGCCGCCGCAAGGAUGACGGGUCGAGGAAGCAGACGGGCCCUAUCGGUGGAAGGCCGCUGGCCGCCGUUCCUCUCCAUGUAGUCCAGGAUCGUGCGGGCUGUUGAAGUGACGUCAUCUUCAGGAACGUCACGACGACGACCCCUCACGGUUGGAGAUCGGCGACGGCUCUCACUUACCACGGCAUCCAAGACUGCACGAGCCUCUGCAGUAAUGUGGUCUUGAAGCUCCUCUCGGUGGGCCAGAAUCAGAGCCUUGUCCUCCGGGGUCAACGGAUCUUCAGAGUGGAUGCACUCGAUGGCGCGCACGAGCUCCGGACCAAGGCGUUGGGGCUGAAACAAGGAAGGAAUAAGGCGACACAUUCGUUUCCUAAGAUCUAAGAGAAGAAGUCGGGUCUCCACCUGGUUAACAGAAGAAGAUGACGAUGAGGCCAUGACGAAGCAGUCGCGCUGAUGAGAAGAAGAAGAAAAGUGAAAUGGGAGCCGAGUCGAUACUAUCGGGAGUAAGCACCGAGGUCGAUAUUUAUGGGAAAAAUACGUGGAAAUCUGGUGAGGCCACGUCCCAUCGGUAAUAAGGAAGGCAGUAAAUAGAGAGGGCGUCGCGAAGGGUCAGUCAAAGAAGAUAGUAAAUGUUCGUACAAAACGGUCAGUGUUUUACAGAUUACCCAAAAGGGUAUCGAUAGCUGUGAUGGCCCGGCGCCGGAUCUGAUCGGCAGAGUCAAGAACCCGUUGGUCUUCUUCCACCGAUCCAGGGACCUCCGAUGCGCUGCGGUGGAGUCUCAGAGCCUCAUAAGCAAAGCGCUGCCUCUCCCGUGUCAAAUCGGCAAUAGCAGAGGGUAACUCUUGAAGUUUGUUCUCUUCGGCGCUGAUUGCCUUGGUCACUUGCUCCAUCUCUUUGGCAAGUCCUGCCCUCCGACGUUUGAGGCGGUCUAUUUCACUAAUGAUCGCCGGGCGUGAGUCUUCUAGGACAUGGAUACGCCGAUGCGCUUCUUGAGCCUGACGCUUGAAAGCGUCUUCAUCUUCACGAGUCUUGGCCAGUUUCGCGCGAUCGGCCAUGUGACGAAGGGCCCUAAAGACCGGGAUCCUCAUGGACUCAAUGAAGGCCGCCGGUGCCAAGGCCUCUUCCGCUUCCUCUGGUACUUGUCCGCUGACGUCACUGAAGAGCUGCCGAAUCGGCGAAGCAUCUUCUACCAAUCGGCCGAUGUCCCCUUGUAGGAGGGAUCGGAUGUUGGUGAGUUUAGCUCGGACGUCGUCAGGAACGGAGCUUAGAGCAACAUGGCGGGAUGCGACUUCCUUGUCAUCGGAGAGAGCAACCGCGAAGGAGAAGAGGCUGUUGUCGGGGGAGUCUUGUUCCUAAAAAAGAAAUAAGGAAAAGGAGUGAACCGGCGGGGGAUCAGAGCAGGUCGGCUGGUUGAAAGCUGGUUUAGGAACUUACCAUCUUAAAGCGAAUUUCUUCAUGCUGCGCUUCUAAAGCCGUCGUGACUUGCUCAGUGGCCUAUGCCAUGGGUUCAUCUGAUGAAGAGGACUCCACGACAAUCGGCACGGCGCUCAGACCAGCCCCCUGAGAAGAAAUCGGUGGUCGGGAAGCGCUCGGUGUGCCGAUGACCUGCGUCGAAGAGUCGGUUAAAUACAUUAUACAAGUGCCCGAAGGAAAUCCGUAAGAUGAGUACCGUACCUCAAUGGAUGAGGGCAGGGGCGCAUUGGCGUCCGGACGAGUUGUCGCCGAUUGUGGUAUUUCCAUAGAGGUGCUCUGGGAAAUACAAAGUUAAGAAAAGUUAAUAUUGAAAUAACAAUCGGAGAUGGCAAAACUCGGACUUGCCUGCAUAGCUUCCAACAAUAAUGACGCGGCAGUCACCCCGGCUUGUGUGAUGGCUUGAGUAUCGGCGCUUUGUGUGGCCUGGGAAGGUGGUGCAGUCAAAGUUUCUGCUGAUACGAGCACAGGAGGAUCCGCCGAUUCCGUACGAGCCCGGACUCGGCGACUGGUUUUCUUGAUGACCUUCUUGUGAACCUUCUUCGAUCGGCCAGCGAUCAUGUCAACUGACGGAGCGUCGUAGCCGAUAAGAGGAUAGCUGGUGUACGGAUAGCUCUCUAUUAGCCGACCGCUGCGGCUGUGUGUUGGAGGGUUCCGAUUCCCGGCCUAAAGAAACAAUGAAGUCAUUAGUGCUCAAUCAUGUUGGGGAGAAUAAAAAUCGGCGAUCAGAAAUACCUCGGCGUUGGGAUCAAUGUUGGCCGGAUCUAGAAGGUUGCAGUAUGCCGAUGCUGAGUUGCAGAAUAAAAAUUGCUUCCAUUCGGCCCACCAAAGUUUGAACGGCUGAAUGGCAAAAGGAAAUAAUAGCCAGUCAUUCAAAUUAAUCGUACUGGAGUCCGGAAUUCGGUCUCGCAGCCGACAGUAAUCCAGGCCAGUUGUGAGCACAUCUCUGAACUUGAUUCGGCCAGCAAAAUACACUUGUAUCGGCAAUUGACCCAUGCCGAAUUGUCGUGCGGCAGUAGACGGGUUGUAGAAUUCGUAUGUAGGGGCAUCCUUCCCUGAAAAGAAGUUGGCCGGUAGGAGUCCUGGCUUGAUCAGUUCUUCAUAAAGAUUCUCAUCAAACCGGCCAGAAGUCGAGUCAAAGCAGGUAGGGAGCUCAAAGACUGGGUUGUCUCGCUGGUACGGGAACCAAAUGGAUGCGUCUUCAUUAAAUCCAUUAUAAAAGCACCGAAAGUACUCGGCUACCUUUGUAGCAGAAUACGCACAACCUGGAAAAGCUGACGCUGCUUCACCAAAGGACAUGCAUCGACGACGCUCGGUAGGGUCCUCCGCCGAUUCGAUAUUGGGAAACAUCAUAUGGUCCACUGGCUGUCGGGUGAUUCUGCUCAUGUAAAGGUUCAACCACAGAUUGAUAAACCACCAAGGCCUACCUGGGUUGCCGAUUGGUUCUCCCUUGGAAAGUUUUGUCCCGAUUUGAUGGAGCAUGUGGUACACGGCACCCAGAAGAUGUUUCCCGAGAGGAAUAUGGCUUCCUCUGGACAGUGCUUCAGCUAAGGAUUGGGUGUUGGUUGUUGGGCCGGCGGCUCUUCCACAAAAGAGGUGUUUUUCUAGCCACAUCAUCAGGAAAGCUGUGUGUUCCCUGUUCUCAACGGUACCAGUCUUCUUGUUACUGUUGAUGAAGCCUUUCCAGCCGCCGAUUCCCCUUGUGUCCAACCGAUGCGACGUUGUGGUCAAAAGGUGGAAGGGUGUGUCAGGGGAAGAUAUGUCCAGGCCGGUCAAGAGGACCACAUCGGCCAGAGUGGGGGUCAUAGGACCGUGUCCAAAUAAGAACGCAUUAAGUGCGUCAGACCAAAAAUAGGAAGCCGCCAUCACUAACGGCUCGUUUUUAUCCAUUUGAGACAGGGAGAGGUUGAUGCAUUGGCCGAUUUUGAGCUCGUCCCACGAGACGCUCCUUGACGCGGCCACCCGUUGGUACCAUUCCCUCCAACCUGGGGUUUCAUUCGGCCAAGAUCUAAAAGUGCUUGCCCAUUGAUCUAAGUUCAUAUCGGAUCGUUUGAAAGGUAUCCGGUCGGUUUCCAAAUUUAUAAGAUCUACCGGAUCUGGGUCUCCCAUAGGACCGAGGCAAACAAGGCCAGGACUUCCCGUGAGAUGAAUAGUAAUUCUAUGCCUUACCGCCUAAAAAAGGAAAAUGCGUAUGGAAAUGUAAGAAGUAGAUCUAAGAUAAAUACGUUGCCGAUAGGGGAAGGAUUCGGUAUUUACCUCCGGGAUAAAGUUCUGAGUAAUCGGUGUGGUCGCCGAUGCGGAUGUGGAUGACGGGGCCGCGAUGGGGAUCGCCGUUGGGAUUUCUGAUGGAGCUUUUUCAUCUGUGGAUGAAGUGACGGUCGUCGCCAUCACCACCGGAGGCGCUAUCUCUGGAGCAUUGCGUGUGGGAGAGCUGCCGGAAGGAGUCGCCAUUGAAGGGAAGGGGGGAAAAAGUAACAGGAGCUGGAACUAGAAGACUUCGAUGGCAAGGGAGAGUGUUGAAAGAAGAAGGAUGCGCGCGCGUUGGGAAAAGAGACGUGAGCUUGAAGAUGAGCUGCGGUGAAGCGCUAUUUAUAGGAUGCCUGAAGAGGGGGUAAAGAUGGAAUUUUCACCGCGCCGGCGCUUCGAUUUUUUGGGGUAGUGGCUGUCGUGGGCGCCCGUUUCAAAAAUUGCAAUGAUCAGCCGGGAGACCGCGAAACGGAAGGAUAUUUUCACUGCGGCCGUUUCGGAGGGGAGGUUAUAAAGAAUUUCGAAGUAAAAGACUGUGUUUUACUCCGAAACUGGGGGGCAUGUGUUGACGCCGGAUUUCGUCACUAGUAGAAUCGGCGCCAAGCAGAAAAGAAAUCGGAGAUGUACAGUUGGGAAUCGGUCAAAUGGUGCUAUAGUACGGAAUCGGCUGGCGACUUUUGUCUCGCUUCAGGAUGAAUGCACCAGAAUCCCAAUCGGUAAUCUUUUGCCGAUGAGAAAUCGGCCGAUUAGGAGGAUGGAUUAAUUGGGCCUGUAUGGGCUUGGAAAGGGAUGGAAGGAUAAGGUGGAGGUCAGCCCACGAAGCGUGGGGUAACUAACCUAGCACGAAUUGUGCUUGUAGAUAUUUGUUUUCUGUUUGAAUUAGAGAUAGAAUUCUAGUCGGUUAAGAAGUUAUCUGUACGGGGCUAUAAAUAGCUACCUUUGUAAAUCUGUAAUCAUCAACCAAUCAAUACAACAAGCUACUUUUUCUUCGUACUUACUUUCGAGCAGGCGACUUCGCCAUUACUUUUUCUUCUCACGAGUUCGUGCGGAUUGGCAGGGCUGCAUCAUCUUGAUUUCCGGCCGAUUCUGUAAGUUCCGUUUAUCGAGUAAUAUCUAAGCUUUAACUUCCGGCGCAUCGCUGUUGUUUCGUUUAGAUUUAUUCAUCAGUUAUCGAUAUUUGCUAGAUUUAUAGGUUUUUACCUGUUUUUCUAGUUUUUAUCACCAGUUAUCCAGCUAGGAAUCGGUAGUAUCGGCUUUCUUUAUUUUCUAUCGUUAGAUUCAUCUGUUGCCGAUUAGAUCCGUUCCUAGUGUUGUUAUCACAAGCUUUGCACUAUUUUACUUUAGCAAUUUCCUGUCUACAAAGCUGUAGGGAUCGGGCUGCCUUAUAGCCGAUUUCAUUAUCACAGUGAAUCGGCCGAUUCGCCGAUAAACUCUCUCGAUCGGAAGCUUAGCCGAUCGUAGUUUCUAAACCUGACACGUGUUCUUCCUUGCCAAUCAACAGGUCAGAUUGGCUGGCACGCCGCGCGAACCGCACCAGGGCAUUCACCCGAACAGGAGCUAAGCAGAUUCUCCCGGGUCGUGUGUCGGUCGCUGGGAUUCGGUCGAUCGAUUUCUAGCGCCAACACUAUCAUUUCUAAUGAAUCGGCCGACGUGAACCCGUGUCCCAGCUUCCCAUCUUCUCGGGCGAACUGAUCCAUUUAAUCUGAGUCUUCGGAGCCGACUGCUCGGAUCGGCUGUAGGCCAAAAUCGGACACCUUUAAGAAGUCAGUAUCCCAUACUCUCCCGGAUAUGCACUUGACGGUUUCGCAGCUCCACUGCUGCAUGUCGGCUGCUGCGAUGCUGUAUACGGAAUCGGCGGUGACCACCUCGAUGUUGUCGCCGACCCAUUGUACGAGGUAUUGAUGCAUUGUAGAUGGGAUACAACAAUUUGCAUGUAUCCAGUCUUGGCCGAGUAGCAUGUUGUAGGACCCCUUGCCAUUAAUAAUAAAGAAAGUAGUAGGAAGGGUCUUACUGCCGAUGGUGAGGUCGACACAGAGGGCGCCGCGAGCGGGGGAUACGUUGCCCUCGAAGUCCUUGAGCAUCAUAUCUGUCUUGGUCAGGUCAUCAUCGCUCUUCCCAAGCUUCCGGAGCACGGCGAACGGCAUGAUGUUGACUGCAGCUCCUCCGUCUACCAAUAAUCUGGUAAGGGGUCGGCCGUUGACAUGCCCUUUAAGAAACAAUGCUUUCAGGUGUUGCCGUUUGUCGUCUUCGGGCUUCUCGAAUGUGGCGGUCAUUGGCUCCAAAGCCAAUUGCGCCAUCUAUUCUUCCAUUGCCGAUAUGUCCUGUCAGUCGGCAGGAGUCAUGAACUCCAUCGGCAAUAUGAAAACCAUGCCGAUGUCGGCUGCCGAUUCGCCGCCUGCCGAUUCGUCACCUCCUCUGUCGUUUCUUUUGGGGCGCCAUACCUGAGACCUACCUUCCCUCUUGUCCGUCGUGUACUGUUGUUCUUCCUCUUGCUGUUCCCACUGGCGGAGACGUUGGAUUCUUUGUUUUUGAGACUUGGUCAAUCCAUCGGGGCACCACCUGGGGUUCACCGGUUUGGUUCGUGGUCUAGCACGUUCCCACUCCGGACCGCGUCCUAAAGGGUUCUCGUCCGACGCCCGAGCAUCGGCCAUUUCUUCAAGUCGCCUGUGGACGCUGACCCUGUUUUCUGGCUGGUCAUGUCGAUCAAAUCUGCCCCCCGGCCCGUCAUUGCGCCUGCCUUCCGACCGGUCAUAUCGGUCACUUCUGCCCCCCAGCCGAUCACGUACUAGAGGGCGCCGGUCGUCUUGGUCGCGCCAGUUCCUGCUGAUCGGCUCUGGUCUCCCAUCUCUAGAGCGAGACCUGCUGAACGGCUGAUUGUUACGAUACGGGCCGUUGCACUCCGGGCAAUUAUCGGCCGAAGGCAACCUGAGGUUGCUUUCCCAACAGUGGAUGAAGAACGGGCAUCUCCAGUGAUCUUCAUGUCGCCGCAUUGCUUCUUCCCGGGAUCUUGAGCGUUCAUGUUGCUGCUGAUAUUUGUUGAGCAGGAAUUGGGAAGUAAUGCGUGGUUCUCCUGAUCCGCCGUCAUCGUCCUCCAUCCGCCGCUUCCCUUUGACGUCUUCAGGCGCCACUUGAUUUCUGGGGUCUACGGCGCCACUCUUUUUAGCCGAUUCGGAUGUCAGCACCUUGGUUUGGAGCGAGUUCUUUCCCGUGUCAACCAUGUUGGUGGGGAAGGGGUGCUGAUCGAUCUUCAUCGGCUUGGCUGGUUUUGUUGGCACUUCAAAUUUAAGUCUGCCCUGCUCAAUGGUCGUCUGUAUCUGCUGCCGGAAGAUUUUGCACUCAUUAGUGUCAUGGGAGGUAGCGUUGUGCCACUUGCAAUAUUUCAUCUUCUUCUGCUGUUCGGCAGAAGGAAUAGUAUGAUAUGGCGAGAGCUUGAUCUGUCCUUCCUGGAGAAGGAGGUCGAAGAUUUUAUCGGCCUUUGAUGUGUCAAACCCGAACGUUUAUGGCUCCUUUUUGCCAAACGAACAUGAUAUCGGCUUCUUCCCUUUAACCCAUUCUGCAAGACCAAUUUCUGCAUCUUCUUCGGCCUCAACCUCUUCUAAGUAUGCCACCUUCUUCUAGAAGUUUCUCCGUGGAUCGAAAGAACGUACCUCCUGACCAGACAAUCGGUGGACGAUUUGGCUCAAGCUCUCAAACUCCUGUGAGGCGUACUUUUCUUUGAUGUGAGGCAGGAGACCUUGAAAGGCUAUAUCAGCCAGCUGUGCAUCAGUCAGAGCUAGAGAAUAGCAUUUGUUCCUGAUUUCCCGAAACCUCUGCACAUAUGAGGAUAUUGGCUCGUCGCUUCUCUGCCUGAGGCUGGUCAAAUCGGACAACUUCAUCUCAUGUACCCCGGCGUAGAAGUAUUUAUGAAACUGCUUCUCCAGAUCGGCCCAUGUAAUUAUCGAGUUGGGUGGUAAGGUUGUAAACCACUAGAAGGCCGACCCAGACAAGGAUGACGAGAAAAGUCUCACCCGUAGAGCAUCUUGCGCCGCUGCCUCUCCGCAUUGGAUGAUGAAUAUGUUCACGUGUUCUAUGGUUGAGGUGUCGUCCAGCCCCGAAAAUUUGGUGAAGUCAGGAACUUUAUACCGAUGGGGAAACAGCAGUAAGUCGUAUGUAGACGGGUAUGGAGUCCUGUAGGUGUAGGUCUGCGCCUUCGGCUUCAAACCGAAUUGUUCCUGAAUCACCUUUGCUAUACGUGCCGACCAGUCCGGCUGUUGCUGGUAAACCGUCGGCUGAGGGACUGGUACGUGCUGGUAUAUCGGCGGCAGGAUGGCUUGAUGCUGAGUGAAAGCAUGUGGCAUUUGAUGUGUCACAGCCGGCUGCGUAUUCAAGGUCGGCUGUUUGAAUGAGCCGCUCGUUUCAUCAUAUAGUACGAGCUCUGCUGCUUUGCUCAUCUCUGGUGCGACAGGCUGGUACGGCGGCAUGGUUGGUCGAGUGGCCUCCCGGAAAUACGCCUGGAAUUGGGGGCUUCAUGGUUGGCCGAUUGAUCCUGAACGGCCGUCGCUGAUGGUGCCCCCCAAGGCGCUGGAUUAACCGGAGGGAACUGCGCAGAGGACAACUGAACGGGAUGUGGCUGGAGGUGUUGCGUACCAUUAAACCCCAUGGGGAUCGAUGAUGAGGAAGCGCCAGAACCCCCAACUGGAAAUUGGAUCGGCUGAGAAGCUGAUGACGGCAUUGUACACCGUAUUAGCAAGCACCGGGGAUUGAUCGAUGAAAGCUUGAUAAACGGAUUGCUGAACCAUCUCGGACAUCUUGUCCGAGUCCUCGGUGAUUAUGAUCUGGCGGGGAGUUGGAAACGGAGUCUUUUUGAUGGUCUCCCCGCUCCUGGUGUGACUGAAGGACUGCAAACACGCCUUCCGGUAGUAUGCCGUCUGCUUCUCUAGUUCUUCCUUCUGGUCGUCCCUGAGAUCUGCCUCUGUCACUUCGAUGACGUUAUCUUCGGAGACUUCAGCAGCUUUCGACAUGGUGGCGGUUGUAUUGGUCCCACCGGGCGUGCCAAAAGUGUGUUGGCGCUAGAAAUCACUGAUCGAAUUCCCAGCGUCAGACACACGACCCGGGAGAAUCUGCUUAACUCCUGUUCGGGUGAUCGCCCUUGUAUCUCGCCGCAUCUUCCAAUCUCUUCUUCUCAUUACGCCGAUUUUACUAGUGUCAAAAUCUGGCGUCAACAGUUCCAUAUCACACAACUCAAGAAGUGCCUCAGAGUUUUAGAAGAAUAGUUGCCUCUGGAGGAAUUGAAUAUUCAGGUUGAUCUAACUUAUACGGAGUAUCCGGUCAAGAUCUUGGAUAUUUUGAAAAGGGUUACCAGGAACUGGGUAAUAAGGAUGUGCAAGGUUCAAUGGAGUCACCAUACAGAGGAUGAGGCUACUUGGGAAAGAGAGGACGAGCUAAAGAAGGAAUUUCCUGAACUGUUUGCAGAAUCAUCCGAAUCUCGAGGACGAGAUUAUUCUUAAGGGGGGUAGGAUUUGUAACACCCAGAAUUUCAAACUUUGAAACUUGAUAAAAUUUUGCUAACAAUAGCUUGCAUUUAAAUUCCUUAGGCAUUUAAUAAUCUUUUCAAAUUAAAUUAAUACAUCAUAGGAGUUCAUUGUUGCGUUCAUGCUGGUGCAUAGUUUUUGUUUGAUUGACUUUGAAUUUGUGUUUGUUUUCAAAUUUGAAUUCGUUUGAUUCAAAGCUUUCUUCUUUCUUCUUUUCUUUCUUUUGACCCGCAGUAGCCUACCAUUCCUUUUUGGCCUAUUCUGUUGCUUUUCCCACACUGGCCCAAGCUUCCUCUAGCCCAUCCGCCAGACGGCCCAGCUCUCCUCCCGUACGCCCUCUCUCCAAUCACCAAUAGGCAGGCCCCGCUUGUCAUCUGCUUCCUUCCGCCUCUCCCGCACGUGCGCAGCUCCCGCGCCGCUUCUUCCCCGUGCCGCACCAGGACUCGAGUGCGAGUUCGACUUGGCCACGCCCCCGAUUCGCUAGUUUGGGCCCGUAUGCCAGGGGGCGUAUAAAGCUGCCGCCACCCCGGGUUCUCUCUUCCAUCAAACCCUAGCCGCACCAAAUAGCAGAAAUAGAGUUCCAAUAGCGGCACAUUUAUAAUGCCUUCCCCAUGAAAAUAAUGUUGAUCUUCAAUCCGAACUUUGAGCAUGAGUAAACCGUUGGCUGAAGCUUCCAUGUACAAUUGGUGCAAUUUGUACAUCUUCGUUGGAAGACGGUCUACCAACUACGGCCACACAAAGUGGUUUACCUACCUCAAAUUUCCAUUUAGCAGCCCUAGGGUGCUUUGGGACGUGAUCCUACCCUCGAAGUUGAGCUGGGGUGAGAUUUGUAUCUUUGGCAGAUAGAAGCAAGUUCUUAUCAAACUCCAAAAGCACCUGGAGUAGGGCAAUCGAUUAGUUGGAUUGGGUUCCGAGCUAUGGAAUACUUGACCCACUUUUCCUCUUCUUCUGAAAAGCCUUUGUUAUUGAGCGGUCAUAGUCAGAUAGCAGUGGUUUCUCUAGAUUUUUCUCCAUGCUUCUAAUGAAAGCUUGAAAUUUAACCUUAUCAAGUGGUGGAUCUUUCUUCACGAGAGGCUUUGGUGCAAAGUAAGCUUUAACCUCAGCAUCCACUAUUGCGUCCAUUUCCACAACAGUCAUCUCGUAAGCUUUUUUGGGCUCUGGUUGCUUCUCCUUCAGCUUCUUCUGCUUCUUCUUUGUAGCCGCAGUAGGUGGAACUGAAGGCAUCUUUCACCGUGUAGCCUUGCUCAUAACAGGGGGAGGUGGACUCAUGCUAAGAUCCUUGUCAGUUGGUGGAGAGCAUGGACUCAUGCUAGAAUCCCUGUUAGCUAGUGGACUCAUGCUAGGAUCCCUGUCUGGUAGUGGAGAGGGUGCCCUAGCAGAUGGCAUAGGUGAUCUUGCCCAUGAGUCUUGAGGAGAUGAUCCCAAGGUUGGGGGAUUCGGCUGCAUAAUACUUAUGUAGCGCUUCGGUACAGAAUCCAACCGUGGAUGGCUUCUCCUAGAUUCUUUUCCCCGUCACCUCCCGAGAUCUCCAGGUCAUCCUAACCGUUGACCACUCGGUCCACCCUAACUUUGGCGUAACCGCAAGCUGAAUCUCCAUGCCAUGAAUUAUUUGGUCUUGUGUCGGUUGUUCAGCCACACCAUAAGCCACCACAAUGAGCUUGUUUUUCAUGGGAGUAACAAACUCACAAGGGGCUCUCCUAGUGAUGUCAUCCACAGGGUGGCGUUAGUUUUCCUCAAACAUGUCAGAAGAUCCUCCAAUUGGGGUUUUCCGUGGAAGCGAUGCUGCUUCGACGCUGAGAGGGGCUUACGUCGACAUUAUCCCCUGAUGAUGCAGCUACCUGUUCAUUGUCUUGUUUGCUAAGAGCUAGAGCCACAUGCCGAUUGAUUGCUUCUUCCAUUCUUGCCUAUGUCAAAGCUACGUGUUCUUGCAACUCUCGCAGCUAUCGUGCAUGUUCGACCUUCCUUCUUUGACGACUUCUGUAGGAAUCAAUGUGGUCAUGAAAGGAAAACUUCCAUGCAAUUACUCCUUUGCCUCAGAAAUGUUCAAAGUGUUCUGGAUUACCUAGUACAAUAGUUAGAUCGUCCUUCUCUCGAUCAAGCACGGAAGAUCCUACGGCCAUAGCCUUUAUUAACUCAACAAGUCUCGUAGCCGCUUCUCUUAAUUCUUGGCCGAACAUAAAUGAUCCAUUUUUGGGAUUGAGUGUGACACCAUGAGCAUAAUACCAAUGCUUUGCUCGCUCGGAUCAUUCGAGAGUUGCUAGUACUAUUCCCUUAGCAAUUAUGUCAUCUUCCGUCCUCUACCAUUUGAUGAUCCCCUUCUUGUAACCUCCUGGCCCAAGACGAUGAAAGUAUUUCUUCUGAUGAGAAUUGUCGGUGUUGGUUUUAGUUGCCUUAGCGCUCUUUUUCUACUGCUUGAACUGCACAAAUGAAUCCUAGUGAUCUCUUAACUUCGGGUGCUUCGUGAAAUCUGGUGUAAGGCCCUUCUUUAUGUAGUCUGAAAAGCAAUUGCACUCUUCCCAAAGACCCAAUCUUUCACUUUAUCUACAUCUACACCUUCAAACAUGAAGUUUUCUUUUAUCUUCUCCCAUAACAUUUCCUUCUCUCCAUCAGAGACCACGCUUAUGGGACCUCUAGUACGGGGACCACACUCUCAUCGAUUUCAGGACAUUUCCAAUUUUGAAAGCUUAUUGGGAUGUUAUCCCUAACAAGAAAUCCAUUUUGAUUCACCAAUUUUGUCUUAGCAUUGUCUGGACCAGUUGGUUCACCCUCUUCAUUAAUUUUCAUGAUGAUGAUAUGUCCCUCUAGCAUCUUCUUCGGGCAUCUUUUCUGUUUAGGCCUACUCGAUCCAGAUGGCUGAAAAUGAAAGAACUAUUAAUUCCCAAUAAUCUUGAUAAGUAUAGAAAAAUCAUGUUUACGUAUACUAAUUGUUAUACCUCGUCUUGUUGCCCAUCAUUGCCUCCCUCGGCAAUUGGGUCCUCCUCAUUGCCAUCACCAGACAUGUUGAGAUAGAUGUCAGUCUAGCUGUGAUCAAUCUCUUCAUUUGGUUGAUCGUUCGUGGAACCUUGAGCAAUCAAGUCCAUUAGGUAUUCCUUGUCCAAUCGAGCAUGCUCAUUCUCUAAUCGUGCCAUUGUAACUAAUAUAAUAUAAAAAGUAUUAUUUUAAGAAAUAGUGGCAUCAACAAUAAAAAGAAUGACUAAAAAAGAAUCAAACACUUGGUACAGUUUGUUAUAAUAAAUGACUAAAAAUUUAUUUGCAGUGAAUUGCGUGUCAUUUACAACCGUCAUCAAAUAUUUUCUAAAAUUUUAUGCACAAUUAUUAAAAAAAGCACUACAAAAAUGAAUGACUAAUAGUUAUACAUUCUGUACCAAUAAAUGACUACAAAAAGAGUCAAACACUUUUACAAUUUAUUACAUUUCUAAUAUUUUCUGCAUAUUUCUAUAAUUUAUUGAACUAUUUGAUGAAUUUCUAAUAUAAAUGACAACAAAAAUAUUUACAACGAAAAGUAGUCGUUCACCAUCAUCAAAAUUCUUGGAAAUUUCUAGAAGUAUCAAAGUAAUUUUUACUUUUUCGUAGACAUUUCUAAAAAUUAACAGGAUACAAUAAACAUGGCAUAAUUAAUGUUGUACAAUUUACAAGUACUAGGCUUUUCCAUGAAUUUUUCUAUAAUUUCUACCUAAUGCAAGAAAUUUUGUAUAAUUUCUAGCUAAUUCAAGAAUUUUUCUACAAUUUCUAGCUAUUUUUAUAUAUUGAAGAAAUAAAAAAGGAAAAAAAUUAAAAAAUGACGUCACCCGGGCGUGGGCUUACAUCAGCAGAGAAGACGCGAAGCCCGUGGCUGACCGUGCAGUACGGGCACAGGGGAGGGGGCGGCGGGGGAGAGGAGGCUGGCGGGGAGGUAGAGGUGGUGUGCGAGGAGGGUGGUGGCGGAGUGGUCCUAGGUGGCAAUUGGCGUCGGCGUCUGGGGAGAGGACGACAACGAGGGCGGUGGCGAGGCGAGUGGGGUCGGGGGCUUGAUGUUGAUUAGAUAUACAAUAUAAAAAUAUUAGAUGUAUUUAAAUAUCAAACAUAGUAAAAUUAUUAAUUUUAAUUUAGUAAUAGGUUAUAAUGGUCAUAAUACUUAUGUUAACAUUAAAAUUCAAAAAAAUAGAUAUUUUGACCAUGCAAAAAUUUAGAAGAAUAGUGACUAUAGUGUUAUUAACAUGUUUACCAUGAAUUAAUCAUGUACUUGUCUAAUUGUACAUAAAUUUUAUAGGGUUCUUACAACUUAGAGUAUUCACAAGGAUGGUGAGGUCGCUUUUAGGGUUGUUCGGGGUUCAUUUGGGGAGUUAUUUACUUUUGAAUGUUUCUUUUAUCUCUUCCAAAAAUUACCCAUUCAGUUUAUUAGGACCUAUAUUUCUUUAUUCACUUAAACUAAUUUCUUAUCCAAAAUUUGAUUCCACAAGCGAACAGUAACAUAUGGCAUUGAGAAAAUUACCACACCUUACUUAUGUCAUCACUGAGUUACUGUAAAAAUUUGGGAUCCAUUGGAUUACCACAAAACGAAUUAAAAGUAUUUUACCACCAAGGUUAGCAUGCACUUAACCAUUUUUAUCUCAAAACCUACAGCGAUUCUGAGGGUGAAACUUUAACAGUAGAUUGAAGGCGUGUUACAGAGACUUUAGUGAAUUUUUCAUGAUUUUUAGAGAAGGACAUCUAUUUCCCAUAUUUUCCUUCUAUUUAUCUUGCUUUAUAAAAGAAGGUGGGUUUCUUUCUAUUUCUGACCAUGUUCCAUAUUUUUCCCGUGAACUACACCUUAAAAUUGAGCUACUCCAAGUGGUUUCACAUUUUUCUCAGCUCUGGAUUAAAACUUAUGCAAAAAGAAAGAUUUAACCCUAGAUUUCAAAUAUAAGGCUAAAACAGUGAUUUAAAGUUCUACUCCAAAGACCUAAGUAUAUUUUUGAGCUUCUACUUAUUGAAACAUACACCACAGAGUUGGAUUUACCUUUUUAGCAUUUUUAUUCGAUUUACUAUGAUUUAAAAGGCCUAAGCAAGAAAUAAAACUAUAGGGUAUUAUUUCCAAUAGUAACAUGGGCAAGAUUAUUUUUGUAUGAAACUAGACAGUUCACUGAGUUCAAUAAAAGUGAUUUGGUAUUUUUCUUAUUUUUCUAUGAUUUAUGGUGCAUUUACAAAGUUUAUCCUAUUUUCUGCCGAUUUAAAACAAUAAACCGAAAACAACUUACAAACUAACCCUCGGGUCUACGGUUUAAUUGCGCAGGGGUCCUUAGUUCUUGCGCUAAGGCUCCUGGAAGAAUGUACACGACACAGAUAGGUCCUCGCGGCGGCCGGCGGUGAUCUUCGCCCGAUUCCGGUGAUGUGAGGCUCGGGUCAGGGCAACAAGUUACCAGGGAGGAGCGCGGGCUCACCUAGGGUCGAUUGGCAGUGGUUAGGGCGGUGAUCAGGCUCGGCGGCGGCGGAACGGCUUGGGGAUGGAAGCGGCUUCGGCGGCAAGGUCCCGGCGAAGUUCCAACGACGGCGGGGCUCCGGGAGGGCAACACGUCGCUCGGAGACGUGUGCGGUGGUGUGGCGGAGCGAGCGGUGGUGUCAGCAAGGUGCAGGGUGACACGGAGGUUGGGGCUCCAUGGGAGACCUGAGCGGUGGCACUGGAAAAAUAGGGGAGCGGCGGCACUGGUAGUGGCAGAAGGCGGUGUAGGCGGCGCCAUAAGUCCUUUUAUAGGUUUAGGGAGGUGCGGUGGAGUGAGGCAGAGCUUCGGGCACGGGCGGAUAGGAUCGGAGGGCUCGGUGGGCUGCGGGCCGGAGCUCCAUUAGCGGCGACGCAAUUAGCCGGGGCGCGGAGACCAUAGGAUAGGAUCUCCCGGUCAUUGGCCUUGGGGAAAACGAGUCGUGCAAGCGCGGCUUUACCGCGGUCGGGGGUUGGCGGAGCGAGGCGCGCGUGCGGUCAUUGUCCGGGUGGUGAUAGGCGGUCAGAGCUUGGCCGGUCCGAGGCGGCGGCAUCGCGUCCUCCGGCGGGCGGAGCUUGCUCGGAACGGAGCGAAGAGAUGCGUGACGCCAGGGGUGGGAUAAGCGCACUCGCCUACUAGGCAUUCGGGCACGUGAGCGGUCUUAUCGCAGCAGCUGGUUGGGCGAUGAUGACCUCACCGGUGGAUGGUGGCCACGCGGCGGACGGCGCACGAGCGAACGUGCGGGCGUGCUCCGGGCACGCGCGGGGCGGGGUGCUCCUCGGGGCAGUCAAACAGGGCCGGUUUUGGGGCCUUUUUCUCCAAACUUUUCAAAAGAACUCGUGAAACUCCAAAAGUAAAACUUGUAGACCAAACAUUCAGCUCCAAACUUUACAAAAGGAGUUUGCUAGAAAAUGAUAUGAAUUUGAAACUAUGGAGUUGCAAAGUUUGGCAGAACGCUGGUCUCCGGGGACUUAGGCAGAUCUCGGUUUUGCUGUUUUUCAGCAUUUUGGCCAACUUUGGCUAAGAUUUUGGGUAAUGUUCCCUUUGAAUCAGGCCAAAGUGUAAUUGAAGGAAAAGUUCUUCGGUCUUAGGACUCCAACUUCUAUUAAGGACUUUUCUUGAGUUCAGUUCAAAUUUUUAGAGGAACUGGCUCGCCAAGAUGCACGCUCUAGACAUUUUCCAGACUUAGCGUUGGAAUGCAAAAAGGCUGAGUUGACUGUUUUACCUGAUUUUAACCAAGUUUUUGAGCAGGUUCAGUUGCGAUUUGGACCUAGGUUAGUGUAACAAAGUUGGAACACACUCAAGGAACUACAACUUCUAUUUAAAGUCUGACUUGAGGUUAGAUAUAGAAUGGUGAGAUAACAGGUUGCAAAGUUGAGGAAAAACAUGAAUUCCAGGACAAGUCAUUUGUAGGGUUUUGAUGUACUCCUGAUUUAAUUCUUGUUUUUGACCUUCUCCCACUCCAAAUUAGCCAAAGUGUUAUUAAUAAAAGUUGUUUAAAAAUAAAAAUUUUACAAUUCUUAUUUAGACAAAAAUUUAAGUUGGUAAAUAGAAACUCAAGUUUUCUAUUUAACUUCAAAAAGAGCUUUUUAGGGGUAAUUUGGACAUUUCACCUCCUCUACUUUGUGACUAAUGACUUGCUCAAGUUUAACUGUACCUAAUUAAGGUACAGUUGUUACAGUGAUGUUGCUGCACAGAGCUAAAAAGAAGCACGUCGCGAGAUGAUUUAGCGCCGUGAUGCGAAAGCACGACGCCAGGUGAUUUAGCGCCGUGCUAUUUUCCCUACACAAAGUCAAAAACUUCAUACAGGUAGAUCACAUAUUAAUGUGUAACACCCAGUCCGCUUCCAAGUAUCCCGGCGNNNNNNNNNNNNNNNNNNNNNNNNNNNNNNNNNNNNNNNNNNNNNNNNNNNNNNNNNNNNNNNNNNNNNNNNNNNNNNNNNNNNNNNNNNNNNNNNNNNNAUGGAUUUGUGUAAGCUAGGACAUAUGGGCUCACAGAUUAAGUCCAAAGGUUCACACAUAAAGUCCACAAAUCAUCCAAGUUCACCUCUUAUCAAACCUCUAAUCCAAUCCCUUCCUUCGGCAUUUAUCUUCACCUUCAACUCUAACUUUCUCUCAAACAAAUUCACCUCCAAUUGACAGCACGCAUCCUCAAAAAGUUCAAAGUUAACCUUCACAUGGUCUUUCUUGAACAAAUUCUUGGCAAGAUGCCGAGUGCACCAUCAAUGAUGAACCGAACCAUGUCCUGGGAUGACUUCCCUAACUGUAUUCAAAAUACCGACAUGCCUGUCUAACAAUACACAAAUCGACCUCCCAGGACCAACAACAUGAAUCCAUACAAGCCUCAUGAACCAUGACCAGCUGUCCUUGUUCUCUUUCUCAACCAAACCAAAUGCUAGCGGCAAAAGAUAGUUUUCUGCAUCGAUACCAAAAGCAAUCAACAAUGUCCCCUCAUACUUGCCGGUCAAGAAAGUGCCAUCAAUCGAUAGAACUUGCCUGCAAUGUGUGAAAGCCUCCACACACUGACCAAAGCACCAAAAAGCACGAAAGAACAUCUCUCGGUUGUCUAUCCACUGUUUGGCAAAGGCACAUAUUCAUAGUGCAUACUAGGAUUAACUGCUUUCAUUGCAUUCAACAUGGCCAGCAAACGCUCAUAUGCCUCCUCCCAAUCUCCAUAUAUCAACUUUACUUCACGUUGUUGAGCCCUCCAUGCUUUCCCAUAUUUGAUUGUGUACUGCCAUUUCAAUUUGACAAUCUGAAUUGCAGCACCCACACGAAUGGUCGGCAUUUGCUUGAUGACAGGGUACAAACGGGUGGCAAUGUACUUAUACGUCAAUUGAUGAUGCUUCUAACUAGGCUCCACAGAUCCACAAGUGUGUGGCCCAACAACACUGGUUAUCUUAAACUUCUGUGUACCCUUUACCUUCCGAGAACAAACUUUCCAUGCACAACCUUUACUCUCACACUUUAUGGUGUAACAUCGAAGCACGUGCGAGUUCUUUACAUUGUAUGGUCGAUUAUGCACUACAUCGUACUCCUUCAACCAAAUCUUAAGUGCCGACGUGUCCUUAAAUGCAUGACCCUUCUCAAUCAUGCUGCUCGAACACGACCUCAGAAUCUCCCUCUCAACUACACCCCCAUCCGCCACUGCCUUGUGUGAUUGGCUAAUGUCACAAAAAUAAAAAACAAGCACGUCACGGUCUAGAAACAACCUCUGGAGAAUCUGCAUGGUGCUAGGCGACAAAGGAGGUGUCAUCAUCAGAAUCACCUGCCCUCGUAGCCUCAUAAGUAUCAUCAUCACCGCUUACAUGAACACCCACACGGUUGGAGGCCUCAGAAGCAAUGCCACGUGCUGGGACUUCAAUAGGAUUUGGAGGUGACUCAUCAUGCCCAAUAUCAGCAAAUCCACCACCUCCACUAUCAUCAUCAUUGGACUCAGGGGUCUUGAGUCAAUGCAACCUCAGUAGGGGCAGAAAGAACCACAUGGACCUCAACAGCUUCUUGCAAAGGUGAUCCCACUGCCGGUGAAUUGUUUAGGUCCAAUGAAACCCCAGGAGGAAAUCCUUGACACCUUCUACACAAACAAAUACAAUGCUUUAACCUCACUCUCCAACACAACUGACAUAAUUUUCCCACUCAUCUUGACUACCAAUGGAGAUCAACCUCUUUAUGCGUGGACCCUUUGAGGACCCAACAUCAAUCGCACCUUGCAAUAUCACAUCCACACCGUGACCGGUCCCACCUCACCUCUCUUUCAACCUUUCCACAAUGCCACUGAAUGUUGGUCUAACACUAAAAAGCAACGAGUUCCUCCAUGUUCUCAAAAUCAAAACCGCCUAUCUCAUUCCUCUUGACUAUCCCAACAUGAUAUAUAGUCACUAAUUUAUCCAUCUAUUCCAAAAAAAUAAACAAGAACUCAUCAUUUUAUUGAACCAUUGUGAAAAGGCAAUAAUCUAGCAUGUCUGCGAUGCCUAAUGACCAAUGAACUAGUUGAAUUUUUUAUACGAUCCCUCUCUUAAUUCCACUAUAUUUCUACGUAUGCCAAUAUACAUGGAGUUCAAAAAUGUAAGGGAAAUCACAUCUACGGGAUGCACAAAUCAACUAUACAUGCACCUAGAGUACUAAUACACACAUCUAAACCUUCAAUCUCACUACGAACCGAUGGGAAAUUCACAUUUUAACCUAGGGUAUCACUUGGGAAAUUCACGGAAUGUGGCUAUAAGAAGAAAUUCCAAUGGACAAAAUCAACAGGGGAAGGGAGGUUACCUUGCUUGAUCCGGAUUUGAACUCGCCCGAGCUCGAAUCGGUGGAGAAUGGCUAGAUCUAGAAGGGGAAGGGAGGAGGGAGGGGGCACCAACUGCUCCUCUCUAUUCAAAAAGAAUAAACAGAGAGGAAGGGAGGAGGGAGGGGGCACCGACCUCUCAAAAGAACAAAUACAGAGGGAGGAAGGGGGAGGCGACGGCGGGCUGGCACCGUGGGAGCGGAUAAGGUUUCGGCAGAACGGCGCCAUGCCCCUUAGCGUCGUGUGGGAACAGCACGAUGCCGUGGUCUUUAGGGUCGUGUAUUUCGGCACGGCGCCACAGGUGUACUUUGACGUGGCAAUGCACGGUGCCAAAGAUCAUGGUGUUGUGCCUUUAACAUAUGGCGCUAAGUGAUGUGGCGCCGUGAGUAAGGUCCAUUUUUGGGAAUCUUUCCGUGUGGUCCAGAUGUAAAAGAUUUACCAAAAAAGGACAAAAAUGAAAAAAAAAUAUACACUCCUCUCUCGCCUAUCCCUUUCCAUUCCUUGGUAACCGUAGGUAACUGCCAUUCCAUCCUAGUCGCAUGUCGUGGCAAUUCCAUUCUACCCACUUAAACGUCAAAUUUUAUUUUUGAUAUGUCCUUAUUGCACCAUCGUUAGUUCGUAAUUUACUUUCCGUCCGACAAUUUACAUGACGCUCUAGGCUUUGUCUUGUUACUUUCUAGGACAAUUGCUAAAUUAUAAUUUGGUUAGCACGCAGCCACAUUUCACAGAGCGCUUUGCUUCGAUGAUUGUGCGAUGUUCGUUGGUUAUUUAUUUUUUCAGACUUAGAACAUUGUUCGUUGUUUGUCUUGUUUGCAAAAUUUGAAAGAAAUUACUAAUUAUCCGUCUAUAAGUCAGGUUGGGUUACAAGGUGUCUUGUUUGCUGAGUACAUUUGCAAGUGAACUGCUCUAGACAAGUAGUAAUGGUUUGACAACUACGGAGGGCGUGUAACUGAAGCGAGAAAUUUAGAGCAUUUGAUCUGGAGCUACCUCUGUCGUUGCUUGCCUCGGCAGAAGAAGCUUGUACGGUCGGCAAUCCCAUAAAAUUGUGCUGUCAGGUGCCCUACUGUAAUGAACAUUUUUUUUUAUCUCCUCUUGAUUUUAGUACAAAACAAAAGAGCUCGCGCUUCUUGCUUUGCUGAGUCCAAGAAAUGCCACACCUCAGAAAUUUUAAUUAUGAACUGGCUAUAAAUGGGAUUUCUCCUGAUUCGAAGGAAACUAGCUAGACGGUUUUCAAAUCUUUGAGUGGUAAAGACUCUUUGUUCCAGCUGAGCUCCUGAGGGACGACAGUGCAAGGCCUUGUUUACUUGACAAAUUUGGGAGGUGCCAAAUUACUGUUACAGCACUGUAGCACACUGUAGCGUUUCGUUUGUAUUUGUGAAUUAUUAUCCAAAUAUUGACUAAUUAGGCUUAAAAGAUUCGUCUCGCAAAGUACAACAAAACUGUGCAAUUAGUUUUUAAUUUCGUCUACAUUUAGUACUCCAUGCAUGUACCGCAAGUUUGAUGUGAUGGGGAAUCUUCUUUUUGCAUAGUGUCAAAGUUAGGAGUUGGGGGUGAAGUAAACAAGGGGCAAGUUUCUCUUGUAGCGAGUACAGAAAGUCAAAAUCCGUAAGACCACUUUAUAACUGUACGACUACAAGUCGUAGUAGCUGUCUAGCAGCCAAGGAUAGUCUGAGUGCGCACUGUUAUCAAGAUUGUCAUGUAAUUUUUCCGACGAAAUGAAACUAUCACUCUCAGUGCACAGUUUAUAAAUAGCCUGGAUCAUUUAAUUUUUACAUUGUGUUAUGAUCAAAUGUAUCAUGCUAUGAAACCAUAACAUGCUCAGUGCAAGUUUCAUGAGGUUUCAUAAGACCUGGUAGCUGUGCCAACAGUUUUAUAAAUAGCCUGGAUCAUUUUAUUUUUACAUUGAGUUAUGAUCAAAUGUAUAAUGAUCAAAUGUAUCAUGCCAUGAAACCAUAACAUGCUUAGUGCAAGUUUCAUUAGGUUUCAUAAGACUUGGUAGCUGUGUCAAGUGGGUUUCAUCGAAAUGAAACUCCCCUCCCCUCAUAAUUAACGUCAGCAGUUUUACUGAUGUGAUAUGUGAUUUAAUACCUAUAAAAUCCCAUAACACUCUCAUUGAGACUGGACUAAUAACACUCUCAUUGAGACUGGACUAAAAAACCCCAUAACACUCUCACUCUCAUUGAGACUGGACUCAAAGUGACUAAAUCACAUAAGCAAGACCACUUUGCAAUCUGAAGAAGCAAUGUCACCACGUGCCAAGGUCCCCUUUGCACCCUUGCAACUUUUCUUUGUGGGUUAAAAGAAUAUGCAAGGCAUGUGACCCCGAAAGCUAAAACUUGGACAGACUGAAAGCGAAACAAUGGAGUACUAAACUCCAUGAUGCAUUAUAGUAUCACAUGUAAACACACACUAUCCGAUUCCACUGACCACUAUCAUUACAAAAUGAUCACCACAACCCAAUAAACAAUCCAAAGAGCUACAUCACACACCUCUAAGCCUUCCUUUUUUCCCCUUCUUCUCUGAAGAAUCCAGCAACAAUAUAUAUAUAAAUAAAGUAAAAUGGCCCUUCUUAUUUUCUGCACCAACAAGGGACACGAAUUGGACAAAGAAAAGAAGAGGGUUCCAAUAAGUCACAAGAAAAACAUAACACAUCAGCGCACACCUUAGGCCCCCAACGCCAGCGCCGCGGCCACCAUCGCAGCCGCGGUGCCCCACCGGGUGAGCAUGGAUGGCGCGGCGCCGGCCUUGUCCGCGGCGUCGUCGGCUGAGUCGUCGGCAGCUGGGCCGUCAGCGCUGUCGUCGUCCGAGGGCGCGGCGGCCGCCGAUGUGCUUCCAGGCUUCUUCUUGGUCUUCUUCUUGGGCACCUCCGGUGCGGGCGACGGCGCCAGGUCCUCAGCUUUUUUGGGCUUGAACAACUCCUUGGGCUGCAGGAACUUGGAGACGGCGUAGAUGGCGAGAGGGUCAUCGUCCCUGACGGUGGCCUGGAUGGUGGAGGUGGUGACCGUGGUGUCGAGCGUGACGGUGUCUGCCUCGGUCUGCGCUUCGUAGGUGUAGUCCUUCUUGGCAACGCUGGUGCUGGCGAGCGUGGUCACCUUGCCUUUAUUGGACUUGAGGAACUGCAUGGAGUAGUAGUCCGGCACGGCGUGGUAGAGCAGGAUGGCCGUCUUGGCCUUGGCCGUCAGGUUCUUGAACUUUGGCAUGAAGGCGGCCACGGCGGCGUCGACAGGGCAGAAGAGCGUGAGCGCAGUGUCCUUGGUUCCGUUGAUGGUAUCGAAGGCUUUGGCAUCGGCAGCUAGGAG
Molecule: long non-coding RNA, 41931 nt
Filed under: Setaria italica (foxtail millet)
Lineage: Eukaryota; Viridiplantae; Streptophyta; Magnoliopsida; Poales; Poaceae
Description: long non-coding RNA (SITA_LNC004521)
Source: RNAcentral